UACGAAGGGUGCUAGCGUUGUUCGGAAUCACUGGGCGUAAAGGGCGCGUAGGCGGCUUUUCAAGUCAGGGGUGAAAUCCCACAGCUUAACUGUGGAACUGCCUUUGAAACUGUAAAGCUGGAGUGUCGGAGGGGAUGGCGGAAUUCCUAAUGUAGCGGUGAAAUGCGUAGAUAUUAGGAGGAACACCGGUGGCGAAGGCGGCCAUCUGGACGACAACUGACGCUGAUGCGCGAAAGCGUGGGGAUCAAACAGG
RNAcentral lists this ribosomal RNA (253 nucleotides) under uncultured bacterium. RNAcentral's name for it is "partial 16S ribosomal RNA". It matches the Rfam family "Bacterial small subunit ribosomal RNA", at positions 524 to 776 of the family's 1533-position model. The record is from RNAcentral.